UAAAUUGGCGUUUACUAUCUC
This 21-nucleotide non-coding RNA is filed under the name Arabidopsis thaliana (thale cress). The record is from RNAcentral. Lineage: Eukaryota; Viridiplantae; Streptophyta; Magnoliopsida; Brassicales; Brassicaceae.